RNAcentral lists this ribosomal RNA (468 nucleotides) under uncultured bacterium. Its description in RNAcentral is "partial 16S ribosomal RNA". It matches the Rfam family "Bacterial small subunit ribosomal RNA", at positions 28 to 507 of the family's 1533-position model. The record is from RNAcentral.
GACGAACGCUGGCGGCGGGCUUAACACAUGCAAGUCGAACGGAAAGGCCCUGCUUUUGUGGGGUGCUCGAGUGGCGAACGGGUGAGUAACACGUGAGUAACCUGCCCUUGACUUUGGGAUAACUUCAGGAAACUGGGGCUAAUACCGGAUAGGAGCUCCUGCUGCAUGGUGGGGGUUGGAAAGUUUCGGCGGUUGGGGAUGGACUCGCGGCUUAUCAGCUAGUUGGUGGGGUAGUGGAUUACCAAGGCUUUGACGGGUAGCCGGCCUGAGAGGGUGACCGGCCACAUUGGGAUUGAGGUACGGCCCAGACUCCUACGGGAGACAGCAGUGGCAAGUCUUGCACAAUGGGCCGAAGCCUGAUGCAGCAACGCCGCGUGCGGGAUGACGGCCUUCGGGUUGUAAACCGCUUUCGCCUGUGACGAAGCGUGAGUGACGGUAAUGGGUAAAGAAGCACCGGCUAACUACGUG